UACGGGAGGCAGCAGUGGGGAAUAUUGCACAAUGGGCGAAAGCCUGAUGCAGCUAUGCCGCGUGUAUGAAGAAGGCCUUAGGGUUGUAAAGUACUUUUCAUCGGGGAGGAAAAAACAAAACUAAUAAUUUUAUUUCUUGACGUUACCCGAAAAAGAAGCACCGGCUAACUCCGUGCCAGCAGCCGCGGUAAUACGGAGGGUGCUAGCGUUAAUCAGAAUUACUGGGCGUAAAGAGCACGUAGGUGGUUUUUUUAAAGUCAGAUGUGAAUCCCUGGGCUUAACCUAGGAACUGCAUUUUGAAACUGAAAUACUAGAGUAUCGUAGAGGGAGGUAGAAUUCUAGGUGUAGCGGUGAAAUGCGUAGAUAUCUGGAGGAAUACCUGUGGCGAAAGCGGCCUCCUAAACGAAUACUGACACUGAGGUGCGAAAGCGUGGGGAGCAAACGAGGAUUAGAUACC
RNAcentral lists this ribosomal RNA (457 nucleotides) under uncultured bacterium. Its description in RNAcentral is "bacterial SSU rRNA". It matches the Rfam family "Bacterial small subunit ribosomal RNA", at positions 340 to 786 of the family's 1533-position model. The record is from RNAcentral.